Molecule: unclassified non-coding RNA, 323 nt
Filed under: soil metagenome
Description: partial contains 5.8S ribosomal RNA, internal transcribed spacer 2, and large subunit ribosomal RNA
Rfam family: 5.8S ribosomal RNA (bases 1-120)
Source: RNAcentral
GAUGAAGAACGCAGCGAAAUGCGAUAAGUAAUGUGAAUUGCAGAAUUCAGUGAAUCAUCGAAUCUUUGAACGCAACUUGCGCCUUUUGGUAUUCCGAAAGGCAUGCCUGUUUGAGUGUCAUAUAAACCUCACCUCUACUGUUUUUCAUUAGACAUGUGGACUGGUGCUUUGGGCGUCUGCCGUUUACUCUGGCUCGCCUCAAAUGUCUAAGUGGAAUGCGUAAUAAGUCUUCGCAACCCUCCACUCUAAUACAAACUUUUAUAUUCUGACCUCAAAUCAGGUAGGACUACCCGCUGAACUUAAGCAUAUCAAUAAGCGGAGGA